RNAcentral lists this ribosomal RNA (819 nucleotides) under uncultured bacterium. RNAcentral describes it as "partial 16S ribosomal RNA". It matches the Rfam family "Bacterial small subunit ribosomal RNA", at positions 60 to 879 of the family's 1533-position model. The record is from RNAcentral.
AGUCGAACGAGAUUAAGGGGCUUGCUCCUUAUGAAAGUGGCGCACGGGUGCGUAACGCGUAUGCAACCUACCUUAAUCAGGGGGAUAGCCCGAAGAAAUUCGGAUUAAGACCGCAUAAAAACACAGGAUAGCAUUAUCCAAUGUUCAAAUAUUUAUAGGAUUAAGAUGGGCAUGCGUGUCAUUAGCUAGUUGGCGGGGUAACGGCCCACCAAGGCGACGAUGACUAGGGGAUCUGAGAGGAUGACCCCCCACACUGGUACUGAGACACGGACCAGACUCCUACGGGAGGCAGCAGUAAGGAAUAUUGGUCAAUGGAGGGAACUCUGAACCAGCCAUGCCGCGUGCAGGAAGACAGCCCUCUGGGUCGUAAACUGCUUUUAUUCGGGAAUAAACCUUAUUACGUGUAAUAAGCUGAAUGUACCGAAGGAAUAAGGAUCGGCUAACUCCGUGCCAGCAGCCGCGGUAAUACGGAGGAUCCAAGCGUUAUCCGGAUUUAUUGGGUUUAAAGGGUGCGUAGGCGGCUUAUUAAGUCAGGGGUGAAAGACGGURGCUYAACYAUCGCAGUGCCYUUGAUACUGAUGRGCUUGAAURCASYWGAGGUAGGCGGAAUGUGACAAGUAGCGGUGAAAUGCAUAGAUAUGUCACAGAACACCGAUUGCGAAGGCAGCUUACUAWRGUGUKAUUGACGCUGAGGCACGAAAGCGUGGGGAUCAAACAGGAUUAGAUACCCUGGUAGUCCACGCCCUAAACGAUGAAUACUCGMUGUURGCGAUAUACRGUYAGCGKCUAAGCGAAAGCGUUAAGUAUUCCACCUGGGGA